AUUGAACGCUGGCGGCAUGCCUUACACAUGCAAGUCGAACGGCAGCACGGGUGCUUGCACCUGGUGGCGAGUGGCGAACGGGUGAGUAAUACAUCGGAACAUGUCCUGUAGUGGGGGAUAGCCCGGCGAAAGCCGGAUUAAUACCGCAUACGAUCUACGGAUGAAAGCGGGGGACCUUCGGGCCUCGCGCUAUAGGGUUGGCCGAUGGCUGAUUAGCUAGUUGGUGGGGUAAAGGCCUACCAAGGCGACGAUCAGUAGCUGGUCUGAGAGGACGACCAGCCACACUGGGACUGAGAUACGGCCCAGACUCCUACGGGAGGCAGCAGUGGGGAAUUUUGGACAAUGGGCGAAAGCCUGAUCCAGCAAUGCCGCGUGUGUGAAGAAGGCCUUCGGGUUGUAAAGCACUUUUGUCCGGAAAGAAAUCCUUGGCCCUAAUACGGUCGGGGGAUGACGGUACCGGAAGAAUAAGCACCGGCUAACUACGUG
This 486-nucleotide ribosomal RNA is filed under the name uncultured bacterium. RNAcentral's name for it is "partial 16S ribosomal RNA". It matches the Rfam family "Bacterial small subunit ribosomal RNA", at positions 30 to 507 of the family's 1533-position model. The record is from RNAcentral.